GAUGAACGCUGGCGGCGUGCCUAAUACAUGCAAGUCGAGCGAACGGACGAGAAGCUUGCUUCUCUGAUGUUAGCGGCGGACGGGUGAGUAACACGUGGAUAACCUACCUAUAAGACUGGGAUAACUUCGGGAAACCGGAGCUAAUACCGGAUAAUAUUUUGAACCGCAUGGUUCAAAAGUGAAAGACGGUCUUGCUGUCACUUAUAGAUGGAUCCGCGCUGCAUUAGCUAGUUGGUAAGGUAACGGCUUACCAAGGCAACGAUGCAUAGCCGACCUGAGAGGGUGAUCGGCCACACUGGAACUGAGACACGGUCCAGACUCCUACGGGAGGCAGCAGUAGGGAAUCUUCCGCAAUGGGCGAAAGCCUGACGGAGCCACGCCGCGUGAGUGAUGAAGGUCUUCGGAUCGUAAAACUCUGUUAUUAGGGAAGAACAGAUGUGUAAGUAACUGUGCACAUCUUGACGGUACCUAAUCAGAAAGCCACGGCUAACUACGUG
Molecule: ribosomal RNA, 497 nt
Filed under: uncultured bacterium
Lineage: Bacteria
Description: partial 16S ribosomal RNA
Rfam family: Bacterial small subunit ribosomal RNA
Source: RNAcentral